UACCAGACUCCUACGGGAGGCAGCAGUGGGGAAUAUUGCACAAUGGGGGAAACCCUGAUGCAGCAACGCCGCGUGGGUGAAGGAGCGUUUCGGCGCGUAAAGCCCUGUCAGCGGGGAAGAAGAAAGACGGUACCCGACCAAGAAGCCCCGGCUAACUACGUGCCAGCAGCCGCGGUAAUACGUAGGUGGCAAGCGUUAUCCGGAUUUACUGGGUGUAAAGGGCGUGUAGGCGGGAAAGCAAGUCAGAUGUGAAAACCAUGGGCUCAACCUGUGGCCUGCAUUUGAAACUGUUUUUCUUGAGUACUGGAGAGGCAGACGGAAUUCCUAGUGUAGCGGUGAAAUGCGUAGAUAUUAGGAGGAACACCAGUGGCGAAGGCGACUUUCUGGACUGUACCUGACGCUGAGGCGCGAAAGCGUGGGUAGCGAACGGGAUUAGAUACCCCAGUA
Molecule: ribosomal RNA, 447 nt
Filed under: uncultured bacterium
Lineage: Bacteria
Description: partial 16S ribosomal RNA
Rfam family: Bacterial small subunit ribosomal RNA
Source: RNAcentral